UACGUAGGGUGCAAGCGUUAAUCGGAAUUACUGGGCGUAAAGCGUGCGCAGGCGGUGAUGUAAGACAGUUGUGAAAUCCCCGGGCUCAACCUGGGAACUGCAUCUGUGACUGCAUCGCUGGAGUACGGUAGAGGGGAUGGAAUUCCGCGUGUAGCAGUGAAAUGCGUAGAUAUGCGGAGGAACACCGAUGGCGAAGGCAAUCCCCUGGACCUGUACUGACGCUCAUGCACGAAAGCGUGGGGAGCAAACAGGAUUAGAGUACCCG
Molecule: ribosomal RNA, 265 nt
Filed under: uncultured bacterium
Lineage: Bacteria
Description: partial 16S ribosomal RNA
Rfam family: Bacterial small subunit ribosomal RNA
Source: RNAcentral